AAUAUUGCACAAUGGGCGAAAGCCUGAUGCAGCAACGCCGCGUGCGCGAUGAAGGCCUUCGGGUCGUAAAGCGCUUUUUGGGGAGAUGAGGAAGGACAGUAUCCCCAGAAUAAGGGUUCGGCUAACUACGUGCCAGCAGCCGCGGUAAAACGUAGGAACCGAGCGUUAUCCGAAUUUACUGGGCGUAAAGCGCGUGUAGGCGGUUCGGUAAGUUGGAUGUGAAAUCUCCCGGCUCAACUGGGAGAGGUCGUUCAAUACUGUCGGACUAGAGGGUGGUAGAGGGAGGUGGAAUUCCCGGUGUAGUGGUGAAAUGCGUAGAUAUCGGGAGGAACACCAGUGGCGAAAGCGGCCUCCUGGACCAUACCUGACGCUCAGACGCGAAAGCUAGGGGAGCAAACGGGAUUAGAAACCCCGGUAGUCCUAGCUGUAAACGAUGUCGACUUGGCGUUGGUGGGGUAAAAGCCAUCAGUGCCGUAGCUAACGCGAUAAGUCGACCGCCUGGGGACUACGGCCGCAAGGUUA
This 522-nucleotide ribosomal RNA is filed under the name uncultured Chloroflexota bacterium. Its description in RNAcentral is "bacterial SSU rRNA". It matches the Rfam family "Bacterial small subunit ribosomal RNA", at positions 360 to 896 of the family's 1533-position model. Lineage: Bacteria; Bacillati; Chloroflexota. The record is from RNAcentral.